RNAcentral lists this ribosomal RNA (627 nucleotides) under Salmonella enterica subsp. enterica serovar Infantis. RNAcentral's name for it is "partial 23S ribosomal RNA". It matches the Rfam family "Bacterial large subunit ribosomal RNA", at positions 566 to 1190 of the family's 2925-position model. The record is from RNAcentral. Lineage: Bacteria; Pseudomonadati; Pseudomonadota; Gammaproteobacteria; Enterobacterales; Enterobacteriaceae.
GUACAAGCAGUGGGAGCACAGGUUUACCUGUGUGACUGCGUACCUUUUGUAUAAUGGGUCAGCGACUUAUAUUCUGUAGCAAGGUUAACCGUAUAGGGGAGCCGGAGGGAAACCGAGUCUUAACCGGGCGUUAAGUUGCAGGGUAUAGACCCGAAACCCGGUGAUCUAGCCAUGGGCAGGUUGAAGGUUGGGUAACACUAACUGGAGGACCGAACCGACUAAUGUUGAAAAAUUAGCGGAUGACCUGUGGCUGGGGGUGAAAGGCCAAUCAAACCGGGAGAUAGCUGGUUCUCCCCGAAAGCUAUUUAGGUAGCGCCUCGUGAAUUCAUCUCCGGGGGUAGAGCACUGUUUCGGCUAGGGGGCCAUCCCGGCUUACCAACCCGAUGCAAACUGCGAAUACCGGAGAAUGUUAUCACGGGAGACACACGGCGGGUGCUAACGUCCGUCGUGAAGAGGGAAACAACCCAGACCGCCAGCUAAGGUCCCAAAGUCAUGGUUAAGUGGGAAACGAUGUGGGAAGGCCCAGACAGCCAGGAUGUUGGCUUAGAAGCAGCCAUCAUUUAAAGAAAGCGUAAUAGCUCACUGGUCGAGUCGGCCUGCGCGGAAGAUGUAACGGGGCUAAACCAU